Molecule: ribosomal RNA, 513 nt
Filed under: uncultured bacterium
Lineage: Bacteria
Description: partial 16S ribosomal RNA
Rfam family: Bacterial small subunit ribosomal RNA
Source: RNAcentral
GACGAACGCUGGCGGCGUGCCUAAUACAUGCAAGUCGAGCGAACAGACGAGGAGCUUGCUCCUCUGACGUUAGCGGCGGACGGGUGAGUAACACGUGGAUAACCUACCUAUAAGACUGGGAUAACUUCGGGAAACCGGAGCUAAUACCGGAUAAUAUAUUGAACCGCAUGGUUCAAUAGUGAAAGACGGUUUUGCUUUCACUUAUAGAUGGAUCCGCGCCGCAUUAGCUAGUUGGUAAGGUAACGGCUUACCAAGGCAACGAUGCGUAGCCGACCUGAGAGGGUGAUCGGCCACACUGGAACUGAGACACGGUACAGACUCCUACGGGAGGCAGCAGUAGGGAAUCUUCCGCAAUGGGCGAAAGCCUGACGGAGCAACGCCGCGUGAGUGAUGAAGGUCUUCGGAUCGUAAAACUCUGUUAUUAGGGAAGAACAAAUGUGUAAGUAACUAUGCACGUCUUGACGGUACCUAAUCAGAAAGCCACGGCUAACUACGUGCCAGCCGCCGCAGUAA